GAUGAGCGCUGGCGGCGUGCCUAAUACAUGCAAGUCGAGCGAACAGACGAGGAGCUUGCUCCUCUGACGUUAGCGGCGGACGUGUGAGUAACACGUGGAUAACCUACCUAUAAGACUGGGAUAACUUCGGGAAACCGGUGCUAAUACCGGAUAAUAUAUUCAACCGCAUUGUUCAAUAGUGAUAUACGGUUUUGCUGUCACUUAUAGAUGGAUCCGCGCCGCAUUAGCUAGUUGGUAAGGUAACGGCUUACCAAGGCAACGAUGCGUAGCCGACCUGAGAGGGCGAUCGGCCACACUGGAACUGAGACACGGUCCAGACUCCUACGGGAGGCAGCAGUAGGGAAUCUUCCGCAAUGGGCGGAAGCCUGACGGAGCAACGCGGCGUGAGUGAUGAAGGUCUUCGGAUCGUAAAACUCUGUUAUUAGGGAAGAACAAAUGUGUAAGUAACUAUGCACGUCUUGACGGUACCUAAUCAGAAAGCAACGGCUAACUACGUG
RNAcentral lists this ribosomal RNA (497 nucleotides) under uncultured bacterium. RNAcentral's name for it is "partial 16S ribosomal RNA". It matches the Rfam family "Bacterial small subunit ribosomal RNA", at positions 28 to 507 of the family's 1533-position model. The record is from RNAcentral.